UAAGGAACUCCUUGGAAACUGGAGGAAAGGUGACUCUUGGUAUGCUUUAGCAAAAAGGCUGGAGACAUUUUGCCCCUGCCCUAGAGAUCUGUGGAACUUUGACUUGAGAGAGAUGAUUUAGGGUAUCUGGCAGAAGAAAUUUCUAAGCAGCAAAGUGUUCAAGAGGAAACGGAGCAUAAAAGUUUGAAAAAUUUGUGGCCUGAUGAUGUGAUAGA
Long non-coding RNA from Sapajus apella (tufted capuchin), 215 nucleotides. RefSeq lists it as uncharacterized. NCBI's taxonomy places the organism in Eukaryota, Metazoa, Chordata, Mammalia, Primates, Cebidae. The transcript has 2 exons. The record is from RefSeq and is a predicted model, not a curated record.